CUACGGGCUGCACCAGUGAGGAAUAUUGCACAAUGGGGGGAACCCUGAUGCAGCAACGCCGCGUGGAGGAUGACGCAUUUCGGUGUGUAAACUCCUUUUAUAUGUCAAGAAAAUGACGGUAGCAUAUGAAUAAGCACCGGCUAACUCCGUGCCAGCAGCCGCGGUAAUACGGAGGGUGCAAGCGUUACUCGGAAUCACUGGGCGGAAAGGACGCGUAGGCGGGUUGGAAAGUCAGGUGUGAAAUCCUACAGCUUAACUGUAGAACUGCACUUGAAACUUCUAAUCUAGAGUAUGGGAGGGGGAGAUGGAAUUAGCGGUGUAGGGGUAAAAUCCGUAGAUAUCACUAGGAAUACCUAAAGCGAAGGCGAUCUCCUGGAACAUUACUGACGCUAAGGCGUGAAAGCGUGGGGAGCAAACAGGAUUAGAUACCCUCGUAGUC
Molecule: ribosomal RNA, 439 nt
Filed under: uncultured bacterium
Lineage: Bacteria
Description: partial 16S ribosomal RNA
Rfam family: Bacterial small subunit ribosomal RNA
Source: RNAcentral